GCUGGCGGCAGGCCUAACACAUGCAAGUCGAGCGGCAGCACGGGAAGCUUGCUUYCUGGUGGCGAGCGGCGGACGGGUGAGUAAUGCAUAGAAAUCUGCCCGGUAGUGGGGGAUAACCUGGGGAAACCCAGGCUAAUACCGCAUACGUCCUACGGGAGAAAGCAGGGGAUCUUCGGACCUUGCGCUAUCGGAUGAGUCUAUGUCGGAUUAGCUUGUUGGUGAGGUAAUGGCUCACCAAGGCGACGAUCCGUAGCUGGUCUGAGAGGAUGAUCAGCCACAUCGGGACUGAGACACGGCCCGAACUCCUACGGGAGGCAGCAGUGGGGAAUAUUGGACAAUGGGCGAAAGCCUGAUCCAGCCAUGCCGCGUGUGUGAAGAAGGCCUUCGGGUUGUAAAGCACUUUCAGUGGGGAAGAAAGCCUUGGGGCUAAUACCCUCGAGGAAGGACAUCACCCACAGAAGAAGCACCGGCUAACUCCGUGCCAGCAGCCGCGGUAAUACGGAGGGUGCGAGCGUUAAUCGGAAUUACUGGGCGUAAAGCGCGCGUAGGCGGUCUGAUAAGCCGGUUGUGAAAGCCCCGGGCUCAACCUGGGAACGGCAUCCGGAACUGUCAGGCUAGAGUGCAGGAGAGGAAGGUAGAAUUCCCGGUGUAGCGGUGAAAUGCGUAGAGAUCGGGAGGAAUACCAGUGGCGAAGGCGGCCUUCUGGACUGACACUGACGCUGAGGUGCGAAAGCGUGGGUAGCAAACAGGAUUAGAUACCCUGGUAGUCCACGCCGUAAACGAUGUCGACUAGCCGUUGGGCUCCUUGAGAGCUUUGUGGCGCAGUUAACGCGAUAAGUCGACCGCCUGGGGAGUACGGCCGCAAGGUUAAAACUCAAAUGAAUUGACGGGGGCCCGCACAAGCGGUGGAGCAUGUGGUUUAAUUCGAUGCAACGCGAAGAACCUUACCUACCCUUGACAUCGUGCGAACUUUCCAGAGAUGGAUUGGUGCCUUCGGGAACGCACAGACAGGUGCUGCAUGGCUGUCGUCAGCUCGUGUUGUGAAAUGUUGGGUUAAGUCCCGUAACGAGCGCAACCCUUGUCCUUAUUUGCCAGCGAGUAAUGUCGGGAACUCUAAGGAGACUGCCGGUGACAAACCGGAGGAAGGUGGGGACGACGUCAAGUCAUCAUGGCCCUUACGGGUAGGGCUACACACGUGCUACAAUGGCCGGUACAAAGGGUUGCGAAGCCGCGAGGUGGAGCUAAUCCCGAAAAGCUGGUCUCAGUCCGGAUCGGAGUCUGCAACUCGACUCCGUGAAGUCGGAAUCGCUAGUAAUCGUGAAUCAGAAUGUCACGGUGAAUACGUUCCCGGGCCUUGUACACACCGCCCGUCACACCAUGGGAGUGGACUGCACCAGAAGUGGUUAGCCUAACUUCGGAGGGCGAUCACCACGGUGUGGUUCAUGACUGGGGUGAAGUCGUAACAAGGUAGCCGUAGGG
Molecule: ribosomal RNA, 1479 nt
Filed under: Halomonas sp. AB34
Lineage: Bacteria; Pseudomonadati; Pseudomonadota; Gammaproteobacteria; Oceanospirillales; Halomonadaceae
Description: bacterial SSU rRNA
Rfam family: Bacterial small subunit ribosomal RNA
Source: RNAcentral